Non-coding RNA from Podarcis lilfordi (Lilford's wall lizard), 1117 nucleotides. The record is from the annotation of a GenBank genome assembly. Lineage: Eukaryota; Metazoa; Chordata; Lepidosauria; Squamata; Lacertidae.
CAGACGUGUAACAACAACAAUCACACAACUGCAGCACGGAGGAAUGAAAUUCCCAACAUCAGGGUUACUACAAUCUUUGUUCUUUUUCUUCCACCAUGUGAACCCUUACCAGUAAGGAUGUCUAAGCUGAAUGAUGCAAGCUUAGACUGCAUGGCUUAAGCAAGCAGUUUUGUGUUUCUAUACAAAUAAUUUAGAAACACUUUCCAUUUCUGCCUGUCUUUUCUUAUGGCCAGCUCACCCUGCCCCAUUCUCUGGAGAGCAGUAGAUGCCAUGAGGGCAGGGGCGGAGGAAGGGGGGCGGAGGGGGCAGGCCGCCCCAGGUGUCAUCACUGAGGGGGGGUGACAUUCGGCACACCGCCCACCCGCGACUCCCCCCUUCCCCCUUCAUUUUGCCUGCUCGGGCGAGGCCUGGGAGUUGCAGGCGGGCAGUGCUGUUUCCUGGGGGGGGGAGUCUCCCCUGAGCUGUCAAAAGGAAGAGGGAAGGGAGGAAGUCUGUUGGCAAAGUGGCACAGCUCCCUUUACCCCCUUGCCCAGGAAGUAGCCCACCAUGGGCGUCUCGCUCCACCCCCUGGAUGUCUCACCCCCCUGGGACACUCGCCCCGCCCCCAUGGCUCCACCCACGGGUGCACAGCAUGUGCACCGCUCCAGGUGCCGGAGCAGCUAGCUCCGCCUCUGCGUGAGGGUACUGAUGCUACACUGUCUUGCACUGCUGGUGCUGUUUACAAUACCCACCAAGCUGUGUGUAUAUGUAGCUGUCGCUGAGAAUAGCACUUUUGCACUCGAUGUGGUCCAUGAAAGCUGAUGCCAUCAUAAAUUUGUUUGUCUUCAAGGCACCCCAAGACUCACGGUUGCUUUUGUUGCAACAAACUGAUGCGGCUACCCCCCUGGAAAUGGUUACGGUACUUUCCCUGAAGUCAGUGAAAAGUGCUACACGCUGAGGUGGAAAUUGGAUGGAGCCUCUCAGGAAGGUUUCCUUCAGAUCCCUGCAGAAAGCUGACCAAAAACAUCAGUUCUGCUAGGUCGUAGUAGAAAACUUUGUGGAAACAGCUCUUAGGAAAUGUACUGAACAUUUAAAAAAGCAUAACAAUGCUGCAGUAUAAAUGAAUGGUAUAUUGGUG